AUGACGGCGAGCUCCAGGAGAGGGGGCGGCGAGCUCCAGGAGAGGGGGCGGCGAGUGGUGGCGGAGGUGAUGCGAGUGCUGGAUACGCACAGGGAGGGGCGUGUCUGGUUGAUGGGGUGGUCGGCCACCUACGAGACCUACCUCACCUUCCUGUCCAAGUUCCCCUUGGUUGACAAGGACUGGCACCGCAUGGCAUUCCUGAUCUCGGUAUCUAUGGCGUGGGCGAGCGCGGAAUCGAUGCUGGCCUUGGCCACCAUGGUGUUCACCGGCGUCAGCAGCAGCAUGGUCCGGCGUAACGCGAUCACCGUCCCGCUCCUCGGCGACGAGGUACAGUCCCAACUCAAUGUCCUCGGACGACUUCAUCGGGGGAGCGUGCGACGGAGUCGCCGGAGACGAGAACCUGUUGCUCUCUGGGUUGGGGGAGGGUGGCGGUGCACUUGCGCUUCCCAUCGAACUCCACCUCCACAAACGUGUUGCAGGACGCCGCGCCAUCCUUGGCGGAUAGCUCCGCCGCGUCCGCGACUUCCACGACCAGCUUCAUCGUGCCGGCGAUCUAGCAAGACAACCAGCAGCAGCCCGAGGUACGCCGACCUCCAGGAGCCAGUGCAGCCCCAAUCCGUCGGCCUCGACCUGCAGCUCUGGCACAAGGCAAAUGGCGCGUCGUAG
Molecule: ribosomal RNA, 666 nt
Filed under: Triticum aestivum (bread wheat)
Lineage: Eukaryota; Viridiplantae; Streptophyta; Magnoliopsida; Poales; Poaceae
Description: partial small subunit ribosomal RNA
Source: RNAcentral